This 894-nucleotide long non-coding RNA is filed under the name Phasianus colchicus (ring-necked pheasant). Its description in RNAcentral is "lncRNA (ENSPCLG00000017639.1)". Lineage: Eukaryota; Metazoa; Chordata; Aves; Galliformes; Phasianidae. The record is from RNAcentral.
UUUAUGGGAUUUUGAGAAGUAUGGGAAAUUCUGGGGAGAAUUUUGGGGUCAAUUUAUGGGAUUUGGGGAGAAAUUUGGGUCAUUUUGGGGUGAAUGUAUGGAAUUUUGGAGAGAGUUGGGGGGAAUUGGGGUCAUUUUGGGAUCGUUUUGUGGGAUUUGGGGGAGAAUUGGGGAAAGUUUGGGUCAUUGGGUAUCAUUUUAUGGGAUUUUGGGGGAAAUUUGGGUCAUUGGGGAUCAUUUUAUGGGAUUUUGGGGAGAAUUGGGUGAAAUUUGGGUCAUUUGGGGUCAUUUUAUGGGAUUUUGGGGGAAAUUUGUGUCCUUUUGGGGUCAUUUUAUGGGAUUUUGGGGAGGAUUUCGGUCAUUCUGGGGCAUUUGAUGGGAUUUUGGGGGAAAUUUGUGUCCUUUUGGGGUCAUUCUAUGGGAUUUUAGGGAGAAUUGGGGGAAAUUUGGGUCAUUUGGGGUCAUUUUAUGGGAUUUUAAGGAGAAUUUUGGGGUGAUUUCGGGGGUUUUUUGGGGUUGCUGAGCCCCCCUCUGUAUUUCAGCUCCUCCUGGCUCUGCUGCUGGUUGGGGUCAAAGCGGCCCCGCCCUUCCUGGAGGAGCCGUCCAAUGGCAGCGUGGCGUUGGGGAAGGAGGCGGAGCUUCGCUGCGCCGUGCGGGGGGGCGUGGCCGUGCAGUGGGCGCGGGGGGGGCUGCUGCUGGGAGCGCUGCCAAGCCCCGCCCACCCGCGGUACCGAUUGGUCGGCGAUACGGGGAAAGGUGCGGAAGGGGCGGGGCUAAAGGGAGAGGAGAGAGGCGAUUGGGCGGGGAAGGAAGGGGCGUAGCCGACGUGGGGCGCGGCCAAUGGGUGAUGGUAGCAGGCAAAGGGGGCGUGGCUUGAGGGGGGGCAGUAGGAAG